This 403-nucleotide ribosomal RNA is filed under the name bacterium. RNAcentral describes it as "partial 16S ribosomal RNA". It matches the Rfam family "Bacterial small subunit ribosomal RNA", at positions 355 to 776 of the family's 1533-position model. The record is from RNAcentral.
UGGGGAAUAUUGCACAAUGGGGGAAACCCUGAUGCAGCGACGCCGCGUGAACGAAGAAGGUAUUCGUAUCGUAAAGUUCUGUCCUAUGGGAAGAUAAUGACAGUACCAUAGAAGAAAGCUCCGGCCAAAUACGUGCCAGCAGCCGCGGUAAUACGUAUGGAGCGAGCGUUGUUCGGAAUUAUUGGGCGUAAAGGGUACGCAGGCGGUUUAAUAAGUCGAAUGUUAAAGAUCGGGGCUCAAGCCCGCAAAGCAUUGGAAGAUAAUGAACUUGAGUAGUGGAGAGGAAAGUGGAAUUCCUAGUGUAGUGGUGAAAUACGUAGAUAUUAGGAGGAAUACCAGUAGCGAAGGAGACUUUCUGGACACAAACUGACGAUGAUGUACGAACGAGUGGGGAGCAAACAGG